Molecule: ribosomal RNA, 194 nt
Filed under: uncultured bacterium
Lineage: Bacteria
Description: partial 16S ribosomal RNA
Rfam family: Bacterial small subunit ribosomal RNA
Source: RNAcentral
ACUCCUACUGGAGGCAUCAGUGAGGAAUAUUGGUCAAUGGGCGAGAGCCUGAACCAGCCAAGUAGCGUGAAGGAUGAAGGUCCUACGGAUUGUAAACUUCUUUUAUACGGGAAUAAAGUAUCCUACGUGUAGGAUUUUGUAUGUACCGUAUGAAUAAGCAUCGGCUAACUCCGUGCCAGCAGCCGCGGUAAUAC